This 768-nucleotide ribosomal RNA is filed under the name uncultured marine microorganism. Its description in RNAcentral is "bacterial SSU rRNA". It matches the Rfam family "Bacterial small subunit ribosomal RNA", at positions 734 to 1501 of the family's 1533-position model. The record is from RNAcentral.
CCAUCACUGACGNUCAUGGACGAAAGCCAGNNGAGCGAAAGGGAUUAGAUACCCCUGUAGUCCUGGCCGUAAACGAUGAACACUAGGUGUCGGGGGAAUCGACCCCCUCGGUGUCGUAGCCAACGCGUUAAGUGUUCCGCCUGGGGAGUACGCACGCAAGUGUGAAACUCAAAGGAAUUGACGGGGGCCCGCACAAGCGGUGGAGUAUGUGGUUUAAUUCGAUGCAACGCGAAGAACCUUACCAGGGUUUGACAUCCUGCGAAUCUCUUGGAAACAGGAGAGUGCCUUCGGGAACGCAGUGACAGGUGGUGCAUGGCUGUCGUCAGCUCGUGUCGUGAGAUGUUGGGUUAAGUCCCGCAACGAGCGCAACCCACGUCUUUAGUUGCCAGCAUUUAGUUGGGCACUCUAGAGAGACUGCCGGUGAUAAACCGGAGGAAGGUGUGGAUGACGUCAAGUCAUCAUGCCCCUUACAUCCUGGGCUACACACGUACUACAAUGCUACGGACAAAGGGCAGCAAGUUCGCGAGGACAAGCAAAUCCCAUAAACCGUGGCUCAGUUCAGAUCGCAGGCUGCAACUCGCCUACGUGAAGGCGGAAUCGCUAGUAAUCGCAGGUCAGCAUACUGCGGUGAAUACGUUCCCGGGCCUUGUACACACCGCCCGUCACACCAUGGAAGUUGGCCACGCCCGAAGCCGUUACUCCAACCCUUGUGGAGGAGGACGUCGAAGGUGGGGCUGAUGACUGGGGUGAAGUCGUAACAAGGUAACC